GGGGAUGUAGCUCAGUGGUAGAGCGCAUGCUUUGCAUGUAUGAGGCCCGGGUUCGAAACCCGACAUCUCAU
Molecule: transfer RNA, 71 nt
Filed under: Saccoglossus kowalevskii
Lineage: Eukaryota; Metazoa; Hemichordata; Enteropneusta; Harrimaniidae
Description: tRNA-Ala
Rfam family: tRNA
About the family: Transfer RNA (tRNA) molecules are approximately 80 nucleotides in length. Their secondary structure includes four short double-helical elements and three loops (D, anti-codon, and T loops). Further hydrogen bonds mediate the characteristic L-shaped molecular structure. tRNAs have two regions of fundamental functional importance: the anti-codon, which is responsible for specific mRNA codon recognition, and the 3' end, to which the tRNAs corresponding amino acid is attached (by aminoacyl-tRNA synthetases). tRNAs cope with the degeneracy of the genetic code in two manners: having more than one tRNA (with a specific anti-codon) for a particular amino acid; and 'wobble' base-pairing, i.e. permitting non-standard base-pairing at the 3rd anti-codon position.
Source: RNAcentral